This 491-nucleotide ribosomal RNA is filed under the name uncultured bacterium. RNAcentral's name for it is "partial 16S ribosomal RNA". It matches the Rfam family "Bacterial small subunit ribosomal RNA", at positions 29 to 506 of the family's 1533-position model. The record is from RNAcentral.
AGUGAACGCUGGCGGUAGGCCUAACACAUGCAAGUCGAACGGCAGCACAGUAAGAGCUUGCUCUUACGGGUGGCGAGUGGCGGACGGGUGAGGAAUACAUCGGAAUCUACUUUUUCGUGGGGGAUAACGUAGGGAAACUUACGCUAAUACCGCAUACGACCUACGGGUGAAAGCAGGGGAUCUUCGGACCUUGCGCGAUUGAAUGAGCCGAUGUCGGAUUAGCUAGUUGGCGGGGUAAAGGCCCACCAAGGCGACGAUCCGUAGCUGGUCUGAGAGGAUGAUCAGCCACACUGGAACUGAGAAACGGUCCAGACUCCUACGGGAGGCAGCAGUGGGGAAUAUUGGACAAUGGGCGCAAGCCUGAUCCAACCAUACCGCGUGGGUGAAGAAGGCCUUCGGGUUGUAAAGCCCUUUUGUUGGGAAAGAAAAGCAGCAGGUUAAUACCCCGCUGUUCUGACGGUACCCAAAGAAUAAGCACCGGCUAACUUCGU